Molecule: long non-coding RNA, 281 nt
Filed under: Nicotiana benthamiana
Lineage: Eukaryota; Viridiplantae; Streptophyta; Magnoliopsida; Solanales; Solanaceae
Description: long non-coding RNA (NBEN_LNC025148)
Source: RNAcentral
AUAAGUUUCUAAUAAAUGAUUUUAUUCAUUUGGUUUAGGUCUACAACAACAUACUCAAUCAUGUAGCUAAAAGAAACCUUAUCCGCUGAAUGUUGUUGUUUAUGAGCACAUUUUGACAAUAACAAUGAGUAAUAACUAAUUCUAGCUCUGCUACGUAGUUUAUUUUUGCUUCUCUGAAUCAAGCUCUAUUUCUUUGUCUUAUUGAGCUCUGUGUGAUAGCUUAUCAGUCUCAUCCGAUCAACUAUAUUCUGAGAUUAUGAGAAAUUUGCAUCCGAUGCUUG